This 219-nucleotide long non-coding RNA is filed under the name Zostera marina. RNAcentral's name for it is "long non-coding RNA (ZMAR_LNC003664)". The record is from RNAcentral. Lineage: Eukaryota; Viridiplantae; Streptophyta; Magnoliopsida; Alismatales; Zosteraceae.
AUACUCACGACAAAAGCUCCUCGACUUUUUCGAAAAAAGUGAUCGACUUUUUUCCAAGUCGCCAGCUAGGGAGUCUUGCGAGGAAAUCAGCCAGCAAGGGAUCAACUUUUCAGAAGAUCGACUUUUUCUUCCAAGGAAAAAAAGUCGAUCCCUCAAGGAGCUAGGCUUUCAGGCAUCGACUUCUAAGGAAUCCUCCAAGUGCACUAGGGAUCGACUUUU